CGAUUGACGGAGCGAAGCGACGUCAAAGCGUUCAUUAAAGUCGAGUUGGCUUAGGGAUACGUUCGUUGGGUAGGGGAGCGUUCUGUAAGCCGUUGAAGGUGGCCUGUGAGGGUUGCUGGAGGUAUCAGAAGUGCGAAUGCUGACAUAAGUAACGAUAAAGCGGGUGAAAAGCCCGCUCGCCGGAAGACCAAGGGUUCCUGUCCAACGUUAAUCGGGGCAGGGUGAGUCGACCCCUAAGGCGAGGCCGAAAGGCGUAGUCGAUGGGAAACGGGUUAAUAUUCCCGUACUUGGUGUUACUGCGAAGGGGGGACGGAGAAGGCUAUGUUGGCCGGGCGACGGUUGUCCCGGUUUAAGCGUGUAGGUGUGUGUUCCAGGUAAAUCCGGUUCACUUUAACACUGAGGCGUGACGACGAGGCACUACGGUGCUGAAGCAACAAAUGCCCUGCUUCCAGGAAAAGCCUCUAAGCAUCAGGUAACAUCAAAUCGUACCCCAAACCGACACAGGUGGUCAGGUAGAGAAUACCAAGGCGCUUGAGAGAACUCGGGUGAAGGAACUAGGCAAAAUGGUGCCGUAACUUCGGGAGAAGGCACGCUGACACGUAGGUGAAGUGAUUUACUCAUGGAGCUGAAGUCAGUCGAAGAUACCAGCUGGCUGCAACUGUUUAUUAAAAACACAGCACUGUGCAAACACGAAAGUGGACGUAUACGGUGUGACGCCUGCCCGGUGCCGGAAGGUUAAUUGAUGGGGUCAGCGCAAGCGAAGCUCCUGAUCGAAGCCCCGGUAAACGGCGGCCGUAACUAUAACGGUCCUAAGGUAGCGAAAUUCCUUGUCGGGUAAGUUCCGACCUGCACGAAUGGCGUAAUGAUGGCCAGGCUGUCUCCACCCGAGACUCAGUGAAAUUGAACUCGCUGUGAAGAUGCAGUGUACCCGCGGCAAGACGGAAAGACCCCGUGAACCUUUACUAUAGCUUGACACUGAACAUUGAGCCUUGAUGUGUAGGAUAGGUGGGAGGCUUUGAAGUGUGGACGCCAGUCUGCAUGGAGCCGGCCUUGAAAUACCACCCUUUAAUGUUUGAUGUUCUAACGUGGACCCGUAAUCCGGGUUGCGGACAGUGUCUGGUGGGUAGUUUGACUGGGGCGGUCUCCUCCUAAAGAGUAACGGAGGAGCACGAAGGUUGGCUAAUCCUGGUCGGACAUCAGGAGGUUAGUGCAAUGGCAUAAGCCAGCUUGACUGCGAGCGUGACGGCGCGAGCAGGUGCGAAAGCAGGUCAUAGUGAUCCGGUGGUUCUGAAUGGAAGGGCCAUCGCUCAACGGAUAAAAGGUACUCCGGGGAUAACAGGCUGAUACCGCCCAAGAGUUCAUAUCGACGGCGGUGUUUGGCACCUCGAUGUCGGCUCAUCACAUCCUGGGGCUGAAGUAGGUCCCAAGGGUAUGGCUGUUCGCCAUUUAAAGUGGUACGCGAGCUGGGUUUAGAACGUCGUGAGACAGUUCGGUCCCUAUCUGCCGUGGGCGCUGGAGAACUGAGGGGGGCUGCUCCUAGUACGAGAGGACCGGAGUGGACGCAUCACUGGUGUUCGGGUUGUCAUGCC
This 1589-nucleotide ribosomal RNA is filed under the name Salmonella enterica subsp. enterica serovar Stanley. RNAcentral describes it as "partial 23S ribosomal RNA". It matches the Rfam family "Bacterial large subunit ribosomal RNA", at positions 1183 to 2730 of the family's 2925-position model. Lineage: Bacteria; Pseudomonadati; Pseudomonadota; Gammaproteobacteria; Enterobacterales; Enterobacteriaceae. The record is from RNAcentral.